UCCCUGAAGUAUUAGUGGUCAGGCCACAGCGCUCUCACUGCUGUGGCCCAGGUUCGAUUCCUGGCCAGGGGA
Molecule: non-coding RNA, 72 nt
Organism: Pangasianodon gigas (Mekong giant catfish)
Lineage: Eukaryota; Metazoa; Chordata; Actinopteri; Siluriformes; Pangasiidae
Source: the annotation of a GenBank genome assembly